CUAUUUUGGUUCUAAGGCAGAAGAGUGGUAAGGGCUGGGCAAUAGGGGUGAAGUGACUUGCUCAGGGUCACACAGCUAGGAAUUGUCUGAGGCCAGAUUUGAACCUAGGACUUCCUACCUCUAGGCCUGGCUCUCAAUCCACUGAGCCACCCAGCUGCUUCCCCCCCCCCCUUUGUUUUUAAUUAAGUUAAUUUGGUACCCUCAUCUGAUUAAAUGUGUUCAAUCUGUAGCAACUUUAAUUAUUCUUUUUUCUUGAAGUCUUGGUUUCCAUAAGUAGAAUCUUUUUCUAUUUCAGUUAUUCUUAUCAGUCUCUGAAUUCCAAAAAAAAAUAAAAAGAAAUCUCCCACAAAAAUCCACCAAAUAUAUCAGCAAGGGGGGUCCACUUAGAAAAAUGCCAAGUUGAAGAGAAAAAAUAGCACGACAAAACAAGAAAUGCAGGAGAUCCCCUGGUCUUCUGCCAGGUCUCAUCAGCUUCCCUGGAAACAUCCCUGGGUGAUUGUAAAGCUCCUAUAAAACAUCCCUCUCCUGAUGUCGUUUAUAAAGCCCCUUGACUGUUCCGUUUUCAUCCAGGGGGAUUUCUUCCAAAGGAAUUCUCCUCUAGUGCAUGUCUGCUUUAUAUUUCUCUCUCCAAAGGAGCCCUCGUCAAGAUGGAUUCUGGUGUCCGCUGAAAUUUGGUGUAACAUCCUAAAUGGCUGAGGCUUUCCCCUCGAGACGCUGGACUACAGCGGUGAAGCCUUGGGUUCUAGGCAGCCCGUGGUAUUGGCGCUUAGGCAGUCCCUCAGAUUCAGCCAGCUCCCAAAGGAUGCUUUGCCUCCAUCAAGUGAGUGCCUUCAAAUAACGUGGUAAAGCGCAAAGCCUCUGGGUGGUCAGCCAAAACGAUCAAGCCUUCAAGGGGAGCCCACUUGUCCUCCCCCACCCUCACCCCCGCCCCCGCCCCAGUUUCCUUUGUUUGGCAGAAAGUACAACAUCCGGCCAAUCCCAGGUAUAGCAGCCACUUUUCCAUCCGGCUCCCGCUGCUCCCCGGCAUCUCCGAAGGUUCCCUUGCGGUCAAUUUCCAAGGUGAAAUUGAAGACGACAUUGACCGGCUCUUCCUACCUUGUCUACUGCUUCCUGAUCCGGGUGCUUUCCGGGUCCCGCCACCUUCCCAGAGCAAGGCUAAUUGGCUCCGGAACCACUAGAGAGCUGAAAUUGAAUUCCCAGUCCAAGAACUCCAGAUCACUUCUAUGAAACCUUUCUACCUUCUACAGUGGGGAUUUUGAGGAAGGGAAGACUGUUUCCAUCUUUGGAGGGAGUCUGACUCAAGGGAGGAUCUGAAGCAAUAGAGAAUGAUCAAAGAGAGGAGUCAACCUGGAAUAAUGGGAAAAGCACCAGUUGGAGAGUCAGGGGACCUGGAUUCAAAUCCUUCCUCUGAGUUGACUUUGGGCUGGCUACUCAUUCUUUCUAGCUAUCAUUUUCCUUGUCUUCAAAAUGAAGGGGCUUGACAAAGUGAUCUCUGAGGUCUCCUCUAGCUUGUUAUGAGCCUAAGGUCUUAGACCCUGGGCCCCUGGGAAUGGGUAGAAGAAACUGG
Monodelphis domestica (gray short-tailed opossum) is the source of this 1567-nucleotide long non-coding RNA. NCBI's taxonomy places the organism in Eukaryota, Metazoa, Chordata, Mammalia, Didelphimorphia, Didelphidae. The record is from Ensembl.